GGAUGAACGCUGGCGGCGUGCCGUUAAACACAUUACAAGUCGAACGGAGUUGUUUGAAUUUAAUCCUUCGGGGAAGCGUUUAAACAACUUAGUGGCGGACGGGUGAGUAACGCGUGAGCAACCUGCCUUACAGGAGGGGGAUAACACAGGGAAACCUGUGCUAAUACCGCAUGACAUAUACGUAUCGCAUGUUAUGUAUAUCAAAGGAGCAAUCCGCUGAAAGAUGGGCUCGCGUCCGAUUAGAUAGUUGGUGAGGUAACGGCUCACCAAGUCGACGAUCGGUAGCCGGACUGAGAGGUUGAACGGCCACAUUGGGACUGAGACACGGCCCAGACUCCUACGGGAGGCAGCAGUGGGGAAUAUUGCACAAUGGGGGAAACCCUGAUGCAGCGACGCCGCGUGAGGGAAGAAGGUUUUCGGAUUGUAAACCUCUGUCUUUGGUGACGAUAAUGACGGUAGCCAAAGAGGAAGCUACGGCUAACUACGUG
This 488-nucleotide ribosomal RNA is filed under the name uncultured bacterium. RNAcentral's name for it is "bacterial SSU rRNA". It matches the Rfam family "Bacterial small subunit ribosomal RNA", at positions 27 to 507 of the family's 1533-position model. The record is from RNAcentral.